Poecilia latipinna (sailfin molly) is the source of this 401-nucleotide long non-coding RNA. RefSeq lists it as uncharacterized. The record is from RefSeq and is a predicted model, not a curated record. NCBI's taxonomy places the organism in Eukaryota, Metazoa, Chordata, Actinopteri, Cyprinodontiformes, Poeciliidae. The transcript has 3 exons.
AUCGAGUGAGUGAAGGCAGGCAAACAAUUGAGGGUGAGGGUGGGUUCCCACGUUUAACAGGGAGGGAGGGAAAACAUGCAAGUUUAGGGGGAAGAAGAGGCAACAAUCUGCUGAGAACCAAAAGGUGGAAAAAAAGGAAGAGGCGGAGGUACUUUCUUUCAGGUGGAGAUCUCCUUAAACUUUAUUUUUUUAGUCUAAAUUUGAAGUUUUUAAACUCAAUUCUCAAAUUGUAGCUUUCUUCACACAUGCUCAGAGAAAGCACGACAUAGCUAGGAAAAAAACAAAAAGUAGGGAAGGUUUCUCCAGGUAAGCUGGGUUUCUCUCCAUACUCACCAUCUUCAGACAAAGAGAACAGAGGAGGAGGAGGAGGAAGAGGAGGAAUUGGAGAGAAACCCAGAUUA